GGAGAGAUGGCUGAGUGGUUUAAAGCACCGGUCUUGAAAACCGGCGAGGGUUUAUAGCCCUCCUAGGGUUCAAAUCCCUAUUUCUCCG
Molecule: transfer RNA, 88 nt
Filed under: Enterovibrio norvegicus DSM 15893
Lineage: Bacteria; Pseudomonadati; Pseudomonadota; Gammaproteobacteria; Vibrionales; Vibrionaceae
Description: tRNA_Ser_TGA
Rfam family: tRNA
About the family: Transfer RNA (tRNA) molecules are approximately 80 nucleotides in length.
Source: RNAcentral